AUCAUUGUAAAGUGCUACAGGAGUAAGAUAGAUAUCGCUGUUGAUUCCUUCUGCCUGAUACGUCGAGCUACCGUCAUAAGUCCACUCUGGUAUUUCUAAAAGAAAAUUUUUUAUUAUUUUCUUCAUCAUCGAUAUGGAAAAAUCUCAAGAGUUACAUUACGAUAAUCUUUAUAUUUAUCUAUGUAAAAAGAUAAAGAAAACAAAAUGAUUCGCCAGUAGCGCUGUCUGGUUGAAAUAAUGCACGACUUGUUGCACGUUCCUCGUCGUACACGACAUAAGCUCGUGCAUCCACGAUGAUGAUGAUGAUGAUGAUGAUGCAGCUGGAUGUACAGUGGUUCAACCAGAAAGAGAGAAA
This 355-nucleotide long non-coding RNA is filed under the name Polistes fuscatus (common paper wasp). Its description in RNAcentral is "uncharacterized LOC122517538". Lineage: Eukaryota; Metazoa; Arthropoda; Insecta; Hymenoptera; Vespidae. The record is from RNAcentral.